RNAcentral lists this ribosomal RNA (500 nucleotides) under uncultured bacterium. RNAcentral describes it as "partial 16S ribosomal RNA". It matches the Rfam family "Bacterial small subunit ribosomal RNA", at positions 30 to 523 of the family's 1533-position model. The record is from RNAcentral.
AUUGAACGCUGGCGGCAUGCCUUACACAUGCAAGUCGAACGGCAGCACGGGAGCAAUCCUGGUGGCGAGUGGCGAACGGGUGAGUAAUGUAUCGGAACGUGCCCAGUCGUGGGGGAUAACGUAGCGAAAGCUACGCUAAUACCGCAUACGAUCUAUGGAUGAAAGCGGGGGAUCGCAAGACCUCGCGCGAUUGGAGCGGCCGAUAUCAGAUUAGGUAGUUGGUGGGGUAAAGGCUCACCAAGCCGACGAUCUGUAGCUGGUCUGAGAGGACGACCAGCCACACUGGGACUGAGACACGGCCCAGACUCCUACGGGAGGCAGCAGUGGGGAAUUUUGGACAAUGGGCGCAAGCCUGAUCCAGCAAUGCCGCGUGCAGGAUGAAGGCCUUCGGGUUGUAAACCGCUUUUGUACGGAACGAAACGGCGAGCUCUAAUACAGUUUGCUAAUGACGGUACCCACAGAAGAAGCCCCGGCUAACUCCGUGCCAGCAGCCGCGGUAA